UACGGAGGGUGCGCGCGUUGUCCGGAAUCACUGGGCGUAAAGGGCGCGUAGGCGGCCUGAUAAGUAGGGGGUGAAAUCCUGCGGCUUAACCGCAGGGCUGCCUUCUAAACUGUCAGGCUAGAGCACAGUAGAGGCAGGUGGAAUUCCCGGUGUAGCGGUGGAAUGCGUAGAGAUCGGGAAGAACAUCAGUGGCGAAGGCGGCCUGCUGGGCUGUUGCUGACGCUGAGGCGCGAAAGCUAGGGGAGCAAACGGG
Molecule: ribosomal RNA, 253 nt
Filed under: uncultured bacterium
Lineage: Bacteria
Description: partial 16S ribosomal RNA
Rfam family: Bacterial small subunit ribosomal RNA
Source: RNAcentral